GGCCUUGAGCGUUGUUGGUGGAGGAACGGUGCCUGUUGGCGUUGAGUGGAUGGAGGCAGAAGUGGCCAUCUGUGUGUGGGUAGUGAUGAUGACUGUGUGAGUACUUGGAGUCACCAAGGAGGUGGAGAAAGAUGGAACGUGAGUGGGAAGUGUGGUGUGAGGGUGUGAUGGGGUUGGAUAGGUAGUGGUGGUCUGGAAGGAUGUUGCAGUGACAGGACCUGUGGAAGAGAUGGGAGUGGUCCCUGUAGGUGGGGAGUGUGUGGUGAAGGGUGUGGGUAGCCUGCUGCUGGUGGCCGACGUGGUGUGGGCCACAGGGGUUCUGGUGCCUGUACUGGUGUGGUUGGGGGUGAUGCUGGUGGUAGAAGUUGAGGUGACUUCAGGAUGGUGUGUGGAGGAAGUGUGUGAAUGUAGGGAUGUAGAGGUUUUGGCUGUGUUUAAUGAGCUCAGGGCUUGGCUGGUCCCGCUGGUGGUCAGCGUCAUUGUUGGCGCUGUGUGGGUGGACCCUGUGGCCUUGAGCGUUGUCGGUGGAGGAAUCGUGCCUGUUGGCAUUGAGUGGAUGGAGGCAGAAGUGGCCAUCUGUGCAUGGGUAGGGGUGAUGACUGUGUGAGUACUUGGAGUCACCAAAGAGGUGGAGAAAGGUGGAACGUGAGUGGGAAGUGUGGUCUGAGGGUGUGAUGGGGUUGGAU
This 686-nucleotide long non-coding RNA is filed under the name Homo sapiens (human). Its description in RNAcentral is "long non-coding RNA NONHSAT017371.2". Lineage: Eukaryota; Metazoa; Chordata; Mammalia; Primates; Hominidae. The record is from RNAcentral.